GCCAGAUGCUCCACGUCUCUCGCUCCACGAUACUUUAAAAUUCGAGACGUGAAAAAAACACUGCAGCAGACACUUAUGAGACAUAUUCAAACUAUACAUAUAUCAAUAUUUAUAUUCCGUCUAAGAAUAAUACCUCCAUCUUUUGACCUUCUACAAUGUUCGUCAGUAAUAUUUUAUGAACACAAAUUUAUGAAUUUAUUCGUUCACUUGAGAAAUAAACAUUCAGAAGUAUUAACAGAAAAACAGUACAGUGAUUAUAACAUUUAUUGGGAAUGGGAUUAUUAUACUCCAAUAACAUGCAUUAGGGCAAUGUGCAUAUGUUGUAAAAUAAUAAAUUCUACAAUGAAUAAUUUAUCGAAACAUCUUGAUACACACAGGAACGAUUAUACAAUUUUCAAUCCGAAGCCAAACAUUGAUAUGGAUGACGCAAGCAGCAGUCCAACCGGCAGUAUGACUGUAAAGGAUGCGUAACAUCAGGAAGCUUCAAUACCAAUUCUUCUAAUUUGACUGAUAACACGGUUAGAUCAGUUGUUCCUAACGAGUAAUUAUUCACUUUAAAUUUAUUUAAAUGCCUGCUAACAGAUCUUACGAAUCAAUUUAUAUUUCUUUUCCUUUCCAAAUAUAAUCUA
Molecule: long non-coding RNA, 629 nt
Organism: Acromyrmex echinatior (Panamanian leafcutter ant)
Lineage: Eukaryota; Metazoa; Arthropoda; Insecta; Hymenoptera; Formicidae
Source: RefSeq, a predicted model, not a curated record